CCCUCCACGCCUGGCCUCCUGGCGCCCGCGGGGAGGUGGUUCCCAGCCCACCUGCCCUCAGGCCGCCGGCCCCAAGUCUCUCCUCCGGCGUUUCCCGCCCUUCCGAGGGCUCGCUGGGCGCUCCCGGGCCUGAGGGACCCGCGCCGAACUCGAGGCGCCGCACACGGACCCCGACGGGGCCUUCGGCUCGGGGCUCCUCCGCCUGGGCAACCCUUACGUCGAGGACAGCCUGCUGCCGGCCUUCCUGAGGAGACACCUGCCCGCCGAGGUGUUUACUAAAGUGAGCAAGGAUCUUCUGCAGCUGUUUGGAGCCUGAGUGGCAGAUGACGCCAACUAACUGGGGACAAGUAUGAGUUACACCCCAAAGGCUGCUGCAGCAGGAUGCCCAGACAGCACGUAGACCACCUCCACACCUGCAGAGCUGAGAGGAUCUCAGCUGAGCAGGUACAGGUACAGGUGAGAAGAGAAGUUCUGUUGCCUUGGAGCAGUACGGCUGCCUAGGAAACAAGAAGGGCUCCUGCCGCUUCCAACUCUGGACGACGUGUGAAAGCAGAAAGGAAACCCACUGCUGGAUUAAGGACCACUUAAGCACAGAAGAGAGAAUACUGAAUACCCUUUGGCAACAAAACACCACCGGCAAAAGGAAAAGGCUAGACAAGGAGCAAUGGAAAGACAGAAUUAAAACAAACACAAGACUUCAUCUUCUAGAAUGCAGGGAUCCUGAUAGACCCUAAGUGGAGUCUUCCCUUAAGUCUUCAAUGCUAACAGUUCUCUGGAAAGACCACCUCUGUUCAGUCCUGGGCUCUUUUUCUUUUUUUUUUUUAAAAAAAAAAAAAAAAGCAGUCAUGCUGUUUGACUUGAAAGUCACAAGCAUCAUUCUGGCAUCUAAGUGAAUGACUGACCCAAACAAAAUAGCUCUAAAACCCCUCAACUGGCUAUUCCACAAGACCAGCCCCUGCUGAA
This is a long non-coding RNA of Eubalaena glacialis (North Atlantic right whale), 963 nucleotides long. RefSeq lists it as uncharacterized. NCBI's taxonomy places the organism in Eukaryota, Metazoa, Chordata, Mammalia, Artiodactyla, Balaenidae. The transcript is spliced from 5 exons. The record is from RefSeq and is a predicted model, not a curated record.